GUCUGUAUGUCAAAUGUGUUGCUGAUUGGUCAAUGAAUAAAUCACUGAUUGGCAGUGGCCAGGCAGGAAGUAUAGGCGGGACUAACAGAGGAAAAUUGAGAGAACAGGAAGCUGGAGGGAGAGACACUGCGAGCCGCCAUCAGGAUAAGGAAGAUGUAAAGUACCGGUAAGCCACAAGCCACAUGGCAAGGUAUAGACUAAUAGAAAUGGAUUAAUUUAAGCUGUAAGAACAGUUAGCAAGAAGCCUGCCACGACCAUACAGUUUAUAAGCAAUAUAAGUCUCUGUGUUUACUUGAUCGGGUUUGAGCGGCUUGGGACUGGCGGGUGAGAGAGAUUUGUCCUGACUGUGGGCCAGGCAGGGAAACUCUAGCAACAAAUGGCGUCCAACGUGGUGGCAAGAGUUUCCACCUAAAACCUGAGAAAAAAGAUUCUAAAACGGAGCUAAAAACAGCUUCCUAAUUGUCUCUCUCAAAUGAGCGGCAGCUGCCGGUUUGAGCUACUGGCGAGUUGCUGGCGUGCGCGCUCAACCUGCAGUAUGGCGGGAAUGAGGCCUCUGCAAGUGGCACAUUAAGCUGUGUGGUGAAUUUAGCCUUUGCUAGUACAAAACAAAACAAAACAAAAAAAAAAAGAGGUUUCUGGGCUACACACUGCUUUGAUAAAAGCGUAGACCCACUAUUUCUGAGACUUGAUGGUUCCCAGAGCUGGCGGAACCGCCAUGUUGGGAAGCUAAAGUGGGCGGAGCCAGCAGCCACAGUGCCGUUUCAGGCUUAGAAGGCUGCAAUUUAAAGCAACAGGUUUACAAUAAGACAGAUUUAGAUGUAAUAGUGUAAAAUGUGUGUAAAAUAUACAUAGGCUUGAAAGAGACAAAAAAGGUGAUAUAUACAGUUAUAUAAACAAAUACAUGGUUUUAAAAAAUAAAGUCUUUAAAGAGACAGUAAAAUUAAUAUAAAAAAUAAGCCACGUAGAGAUGACUAUUACACAGAGAGUCUGGAUUGUGUUGUCUUUGGGAUUCUUAACUACAGAGAGAUGUUUGAUUGUAAAGGAAACUGAGUUAAACCAGUACGUAUAUUUUAAAGAUACUUUGACUUCAAAAUUUGGAUGUAAGGAUAUGUUGCUUUGGAAAAGAGUCUCUUUUGUUUCCACAGAAAGCAAGAGGCUAUGGAUUUGUUCCAGAUUAAGACACAUCAGGUUUGACCAGCCAAGACCACCUGAAAGGUCUCCGAUGACACCAUGGCCCAGAUGAUCCAACAUCCAGAACCGUUUCAAGGCAACUGGCUCAGACGAUACAGCCUCACGGACUACUCCAUGAUCCUAAAAUUUUCUUUGUUUCCCCAGAAGAAACAGCGCCCCCCUCCAGCAGGAAGUAGUAAGAGAAGCUACGCCCAAAUUCCCAAAUAUACCAAGCUGACUUUGGAGAUGUGUAAAGGUUAAAACCUUCCUUUUUAAGAAAAGAAAAGGGGAGGUGCUGUGGGAUGGUCUGUAUGUCAAAUGUGUUGCUGAUUGGUCAAUGAAUAAAUCACUGAUUGGCAGUGGCCAGGCAGGAAGUAUAGGCGGGACUAACAGAGGAAAAUUGAGAGAACAGGAAGCUGGAGGGAGAGACACUGCGAGCCGCCAUCAGGAUAAGGAAGAUGUAAAGUACCGGUAAGCCACAAGCCACGUGGCAAGGUAUAGACUAAUAGAAAUGGAUUAAUUUAAGCUGUAAGAACAGUUAGCAAGAAGCCUGCCACGACCAUACAGUUUAUAAGCAAUAUAAGUCUCUGUGUUUACUUGAUCGGGUUUGAGCGGCUUGGGACUGGCGGGUGAGAGAGAUUUGUCCUGACUGUGGGCCAGGCAGGGAAACUCUAGCAACACACUGCAGUUGAACUGUUAACACGGGCAUGCUUUCAUAAGAAAGUAAAUUCAAGAGGCAAUAGAAAAUCAAACUGUCUUUAAUAAUCUGUACAUGGCUGGGCUCUGUUCCAUUAUGAUUCGUGGCACUGAGUUUACAACAACCUUUUCUUCACACAGGUCCUCCCCAUCUCCCUUCCCAUUCAGAUCCACACCUUUUCUGUCUCUCAUUAGAAAAAAACCGGCAUCUAAGUAAUACUAGUAAAAUAAAAUAAGAUAAAAAAGAAAUGAGACGUACCAGAAUAGAACAAAAGAAACAGAAGAAAACUCACAAGAAACUGGGGGACCACACGGAUCUUCUCCCUAAAGAACUUUAGGAAUACGUGAAAGAAACAUGAACGCUAAGCAGAGGCUCCCGGCGCUUCGUCAGCUUUAGAUGUUUGCCAAGGUCUCUCACCGGUGGCAAAGUGUCUGGGUUAACCUUGUGCCUCCACUGUGCUUGCUGAGGACGAUUGCCCACAAAUGCGAACGGCAGAAUGCCCUCAUGUGACACCAUCAUUCUUGUUGCUAAAGGUGAAGCAGAACUGAAUGAAAUUCAUAGUGCCUGAGGAUUUUCAAAGAAGUUUUUCAGUUCAGGAACUGAGACAGAGUCUUACAGCUUGGGCUGUGAUCAAACUCACGAUCAACUGCUUCUGACUCCUGAGUGCUAAGAAUAGAGAGGCUUUCACCACCAGGCCUGGCUGUAUGUACAUGGUUUCUCAUGUGCGUUAUCUUAUUGAAUCUUGCUAUCAAGACUGUGUUGUGUGGCUGUUCUGAAGGAGGUUCAAGAAGGUUGGAAUGAGGAUGGACCAGGAGAAAGACAACCACGACAGCAUAGACAAGGUGCCAUGAGGCUCAGAGCUGGAAGAACCACAUCUGUUCCAAGGCAUCAGAAAAAUCCUGAGUGUGCUGACACUGAGGUGCGUGGGACCUCGAUGGAUAACUACCUGGGGAGACAAGACUGAAGACAUGCAGCUUAAGUUUGGAGAAUAGCUUGUGGUAGAGGUCAACUGGAGGAUAGCAUAUUUGACAUGAGUUGACACAAUCAAGGCCUUCAGUACCAAUGUAAGGGUUGUGAAUUCAAUUUGGAGAGGCAGAGAAAAGAAUACAAUUUAUAUUUAGUUCAUGCCAAUUGUAUUUUAGGCUGUGUUUUAAUUCCUUUCUUCACAAAAGCACUUUAAGUUAUUAUCAUUUUUAUUACUGACCAUGCUGAGGCAUAGGAAUGAAAUUACUUACUCAAGGUGUGCUGGGUAGUGUUUGUCGAUUUUAUACAUGCUUGAGUCAUUUGGGAGGAGGGACCUUCAACUGAGAAAAUGUUCCCAUCAGAUUGGCCUGUGGGGCAUUUUCUUUAUUCAUGAUUGAUGUGUGAGGGCCCAGCACACUGUGGGUGGUGCCACCAAUGGACAGGUGGUCCUGGGUUGUACAAGAGAGCAGGCUGAGCAAGCCAUGACUAUCUAAUGUUCAACAUGUUGUGGCAUGAUGGAUGGAAUCUGAUUAGUCUUUAUCAAUGACUGCAGCCAAUAUUUAUGAAGAGCUUACUACAUCAGAGAGAGUGUUAAACAGUUUUUAUGCAUAGCUAACAUUUUAUUCUGAUCACAAAUCUACAAGGUAGGCAUAAUUAUUACUUCUAUUUUAGAGAGGAUGCUCCUUCGGUGUCACAUUCUAGUAAAUCUGAGUGCCAGGUUUUGAGCUUAGUUGUUUCUUUUAAGUUUGAAGGGAAAUGUUUUCUGUGAACUGACUAGUCUCUCAGGUCAGGCAAUACUGCUGUGAGCUUUUCUUUUCUGUGCAUGUGGCCCAAUAGUGUAUGAGGCUCUUCAACUUAGCUCAUAGAUCUAAAGGAUGGAAAAUCACUAUGGAGGUGCCAGAACAUGGUGAGGGCCUGCCUUCCUUCUGUGCCACAACACUGUGGGACAUUUGUGAGGAGAGACAGAGCCGGUGUGUGUGUGUGCAGCAUGAGCUAUUUCCUGACUUUUGUGACGCUCACUAUGGAAGCACAGUAUCCCCCACAUGAAGCAAGUGCCUGGAGGACUUGCAUGCCCACUCUUCAUGUAGGACCAGGCCUGUAACCUGAGAAAUAUUUUCCUAGGUGGAGUGAAUUAGUUGAGGGACACUACUGUUGACAGGAAUGGAUGUGGGCUGUGGUUUAGGCUAUGAAAGAGUUGAGGGAUUAGGCAAGGAUAAAUGUCAGGGGAGUGGCAGGCUUAGGGCGACUCAAAGCUUUCCGUGUAGGGAGAACAUCCAACCACUCAGGCUCAAUUUCUUCCUGGAACGUUUUCUUUCUUCUCUCUUUGGGAUAUUCUAUAUGACUGGUAUUAUCACGUUUUGAUUUUCUUGGAAUGGCUCAGAGCUCAGAACUGUGAAAACUGGAGAGCUAGUGUGGACAUUACUUCCCUUUCAGUGAUGUGGACUCUUAUUACUGAAUAUUCGCUGCCCUCCAUAAUUUGAUUUUUAAUGUUGUGGCCCACCUGGAAAUAAAAAACAUGUAAUUAUCA
This is a long non-coding RNA of Peromyscus californicus insignis, 4358 nucleotides long. RefSeq lists it as uncharacterized. NCBI's taxonomy places the organism in Eukaryota, Metazoa, Chordata, Mammalia, Rodentia, Cricetidae. The transcript has 5 exons. The record is from RefSeq and is a predicted model, not a curated record.